Long non-coding RNA from Rosa chinensis, 394 nucleotides. RefSeq lists it as uncharacterized. Lineage: Eukaryota; Viridiplantae; Streptophyta; Magnoliopsida; Rosales; Rosaceae. The transcript is spliced from 3 exons. The record is from RefSeq and is a predicted model, not a curated record.
UGAAGUUCUUUCGAUUCAAACCCAGAACUCUCCGCCUCUGGACCUCUCCUUUGAAGUUCGAUUCGAAUCAAACCCAGAAAAUCUCGUAUCAAUUCAUUCGAUUCAUGUCCUCUACUCUCUUUUUGGCUGAUGGAGAAGGAGAGACGUGAGGAGCUCUCAGAUGAGUGAAGCCUCAGCUCUGGCUAUAGGUACUCAACUGAAUUUGCAGAAUCAACUAAUCAAGGCCUCAUUUGGGUGAACUGUGAACUAUGAAUUAUUGACUUAAAAAUUGUAUGAACUAUGGAGUGAUGAAGGGAGUUGAUGUAUGAGUGAAUAAGUGAUGAACUCAAGUAGUGAAGUUGAUGUAUGAGAGUUUUUAGUUUAUUUUUCAUUUCCAGGUUGGCCCUUCAAAUUG